This 269-nucleotide ribosomal RNA is filed under the name uncultured prokaryote. Its description in RNAcentral is "partial 16S ribosomal RNA". It matches the Rfam family "Bacterial small subunit ribosomal RNA", at positions 524 to 792 of the family's 1533-position model. The record is from RNAcentral.
UACGUAGGGGCUAGCGUUGUCCGGAAUUACUGGGCGUAAAGGGCGUGUAGGCGGUCGAGCAAGUCAAGUGUGAAAAGCCCCCGGCUUAACCGAGGCAUUGCACAUGAAACUGCAUGGCUUGAGUGCAGGAGAGGGAAGUGGAAUUCCUAGUGUAGCGGUGAAAUGCGUAGAUAUUAGGAGGAACACCAGUGGCGAAGGCGACUUCCUGGACUGUAACUGACGCUGAGGCGCGAAAGCGUGGGUAGCAAACAGGAUUAGAUACCACCGUA